AUGGCUGUCAACAGCAGGUGGGCAACCAACCACACAAUAAUAGAGACUGAGAACUGUGAACAUUACAAACUUUUAACAGUGUCUUUUAGACCACGCUACCUCCCACGUGAGUUUACUCAAAUCACUGUCAUCUUGGUCUAUGCACCGGGCCCUGAUUUUAACUUAGCUGCUGACGCCAUAGCAGAUAGUUUUAACAGGGCUAUCAACAGAACCGGAGAUCAGCCAGUAUUUCUUUUGGGAGACUUUAAUAAAUGUGACAUCAUAACAUAUUUACCUAAUCUAGGGCAAUAUGUCACAACAGCCACAAGAGGGAGCAAGAUACUAGACCAGCGUUAUGGCAGCAUCCCAAAUGCAUACAUCUCAAAGUCACGUCCACCUCUUGGUAGAUCAGGCCACAAUGUACUCUUACUAGUACCAAAAUACAGGUCACAACUGAAGACAGGGGAAGUGGUAACAAAAAAUAUCCAAGUUUGGAAUGAGGAUUCGAGUGAAGCAUUAAAGGGCUGUUUUGAAAUGACCGAUUGGGAUGUAUUUUUUAAUGACAGUGGAAACAAUCUGAACACGCUGACAGAUGUAAUGACCUCAUAUAUUCUCUUUUGCGAAGAAACAGUCACCACUACCAAGCAAAUAAAAAUACACCCAAACAACAAAAAGUGGAUCACAAAGGAACUUAAAAUGUGCCUGGUGGAGAAGAAACGGGCCUUCCUUCAGAGGGACCAUGAGCGUGUGAGGGUGCUGGAGAAAGACUUUCAGAGGAAAGCCAUCCUUGCAAAAAGGAAACAAACACAGAAUGUGGAGCACCAACUCACAUCUGGAAAUGCUCGUAAGGCAUGGCAGGGCCUGAACAUCAUGAUGGGAAGAGACCCUGAGAUCCCGCAAGUCAACUGCCAUGACUCCAUCUCGUUGGCAGAACAGCUGAACGUCUUUUUUGCCCGCUUCAACGGCGUUCACCCUCUUUCCACCUGCCCACCACCAUCCUGCGCUGCAUCAACCCAUACAAGAGCUCUGGCGCUGAUGGGCUCCAUGGCAGGGAUCUGA
This 1038-nucleotide long non-coding RNA is filed under the name Nothobranchius furzeri (turquoise killifish). Its description in RNAcentral is "lncRNA (ENSNFUG00015004304.1)". The record is from RNAcentral. Lineage: Eukaryota; Metazoa; Chordata; Actinopteri; Cyprinodontiformes; Nothobranchiidae.